RNAcentral lists this ribosomal RNA (435 nucleotides) under uncultured Lachnospiraceae bacterium. RNAcentral's name for it is "partial 16S ribosomal RNA". It matches the Rfam family "Bacterial small subunit ribosomal RNA", at positions 341 to 792 of the family's 1533-position model. The record is from RNAcentral. Lineage: Bacteria; Bacillati; Bacillota; Clostridia; Lachnospirales; Lachnospiraceae.
ACGGGAGGCAGCAGUGGGGAAUAUUGGACAAUGGGGGGAAACCCUGAUCCAGCGACGCCGCGUGAGUGAAGAAGUAUUUCGGUAUGUAAAGCUCUAUCAGCAAGGAAGAAAAUGACGGUACUUGACUAAGAAGCUCCGGCUAAAUACGUGCCAGCAGCCGCGGUAAUACGUAUGGAGCAAGCGUUAUCCGGAUUUACUGGGUGUAAAGGGAGCGUAGACGGCGAAGCAAGUCUGAAGUGAAAUGCCGGGGCUUAACCCCGGAACUGCUUUGGAAACUGUUUUGCUAGAGUGCAGGAGAGGUAAGCGGAAUUCCUAGUGUAGCGGUGAAAUGCGUAGAUAUUAGGAGGAACACCAGUGGCGAAGGCGGCUUACUGGACUGUAACUGACGUUGAGGCUCGAAAGCGUGGGGAGCAAACAGGAUUAGAUACCCUGGUA